Molecule: unclassified non-coding RNA, 358 nt
Filed under: soil metagenome
Description: partial contains 5.8S ribosomal RNA, internal transcribed spacer 2, and large subunit ribosomal RNA
Rfam family: 5.8S ribosomal RNA (bases 1-120)
Source: RNAcentral
GAUGAAGAACGUAGCGAAAUGCGAUAAGUAAUGUGAAUUGCAGAAUUCAGUGAAUCAUCGAAUCUUUGAACGCACAUUGCGCCCGCCAGUAUUCUGGCGGGCAUGCCUGUCCGAGCGUCAUUUCAACUCUCGAACCCCUCCGGGGGGUCGGCGUUGGGGACCUCGGGAGCCCCUAAGACGGGAUCCCGGCCCCGAAAUACAGUGGCGGUCUCGCCGCAGCCUCUCCUGCGCAGUAGUUUGCACAACUCGCACCGGGAGCGCGGCGCGUCCACGUCCGUAAAACACCCAACUUCUGAAAUGUUGACCUCGGAUCAGGUAGGAAUACCCGCUGAACUUAAGCAUAUCAAUAAGCGGAGGA